GAUGAACGCUGGCGGCGUGCCUAAUACAUGCAAGUCGAGCGAACGGACGAGAAGCUUGCUUCUCUGAUGUUAGCGGCGGACGGGUGAGUAACACGUGGAUAACCUACCUAUAAGACUGGGAUAACUUCGGGAAACCGGAGCUAAUACCGGAUAAUAUUUUGAACCGCAUGGUUCAAAAGUGAAAGACGGUCUUGCUGUCACUUAUAGAUGGAUCCGCGCUGCAUUAGCUAGUUGGUAAGGUAACGGCUUACCAAGGCAACGAUGCAUAGCCGACCUGAGAGGGUGAUCGGCCACACUGGAACUGAGACACGGUCCAGACACCUACGGGGGGAAGCAGUAGGGAAUCUUCCGCAAUGGGCGAAAGCCUGACGGAGCAACGCCGCGUGAGUGAUGAAGGUCUUCGGAUCGUAAAACUCUGUUAUUAGGGAAGAACAUAUGUGUAAGUAACUGUGCACAUCUUGACGGUACCUAAUCAGAAAGCCACGGCUAACUACGUG
This 497-nucleotide ribosomal RNA is filed under the name uncultured bacterium. RNAcentral describes it as "partial 16S ribosomal RNA". It matches the Rfam family "Bacterial small subunit ribosomal RNA", at positions 28 to 507 of the family's 1533-position model. The record is from RNAcentral.